AUUGAACGCUGGCGGCAUGCCUUACACAUGCAAGUCGAGCGGCAGCGCGGGGGCAACCCUGGCGGCGAGCGGCGAACGGGUGAGUAAUGCAUCGGAACGUGUCCUUUUGUGGGGGAUAACCAGUCGAAAGACUGGCUAAUACCGCAUGAGCUCGAGAGAGGAAAGCAGGGGACCGCAAGGCCUUGCGCGAGAGGAGCGGCCGAUGCCCGAUUAGCUAGNGGUGAGGUAACGGCUCACCAAGGCGACGAUCGGUAGCUGGUUUGAGAGAACGACCAGCCACACUGGGACUGAGACACGGCCCAGACUCCUACGGGAGGCAGCAGUGGGGAAUUUUGGACAAUGGGGGAAACCCUGAUCCAGCCAUGCCGCGUGUGUGAAGAAGGCCUCGG
Molecule: ribosomal RNA, 389 nt
Filed under: uncultured bacterium
Lineage: Bacteria
Description: bacterial SSU rRNA
Rfam family: Bacterial small subunit ribosomal RNA
Source: RNAcentral